CAGCAGUAGCCGCGGUAAUACGAAGGGGGCUAGCGUUGCUCGGAAUGACUGGGCGUAAAGGGCUCGCAGGCGGUUUCUUAAGUCUGAUGUGAAAGCCCCCGGCUCAACCGGGGAGGGUCAUUGGAAACUGGGAAACUUGAGUGCAGAAGAGGAGAGUGGAAUUCCACGUGUAGCGGUGAAAUGCGUAGAGAUGUGGAGGAACACCAGUGGCGAAGGCGACUCUCUGGUCUGUAACUGACGCUGAGGAGCGAAAGCGUGGGGAGCGAACAGGAUUAGAUACCCCAGUAGUCCCUGUCUCUUAUAC
RNAcentral lists this ribosomal RNA (304 nucleotides) under uncultured bacterium. Its description in RNAcentral is "partial 16S ribosomal RNA". It matches the Rfam family "Bacterial small subunit ribosomal RNA", at positions 506 to 807 of the family's 1533-position model. The record is from RNAcentral.